CUCCAGCAGAGGGAGUGCAGAUAUGGGGAAAGCUGACCCCUGGAGUCAGCAGGCCCAGCCCUAGGAGGGGGCAGUCCCACAGCAGGCUCACACCCUGCCCUUCAGAGUUGCAGCAGCUAAUGCUGAUGCCAGGACCUUGUCCUGCCAGGAAGCCUCUGAUUAGGGCUGUGAACCAACUUCCUUUUCACAUCUGCAAGGACACUUGGAGGCAACUGCCCAAGGCCACUCUGAGGAGGGUUGAAUGUUCUUUAUUAAAAGGACUGAGGAUCAUGUGUGUUGGUGGGCCUUGGACUCUGCUCUAAGGGCAUGCACAGAUUACCACCACCUCUGUAAGAAGUAUAUAGAGACACAUGUUUGAAAUAUGCAUAAUGAGAUGUAGAACAAUGUCUCUCUUGGUUGUUGUGUUGUCCUAGCUCAAAUUUUGCAGUUUCUGCUGUCAUCACAGCUGGGAAUGAGAAAGGGAAGGGGCUCCAGUUGGUCUCCCUCUGCCUCUGGAGCACACGUGGAGGACAUGAGGCUUCCGCAGGAACAGCUCUGAAAGCUGAGUUCUCGGGUCCCUGUGAAGGAGGGAAGCUUGCCUGCCUUGGAGCGUGAAAAAGUCUUGCUGGACAGAAGUCUCACGGUUUAAAACUGGGAAGGGAGAGGAUUGAGAUCACACUAGAAUGCACAGAAAAUUCUUAAAACAAAAAAAUGAGAGAAACUUCAUCAGAA
RNAcentral lists this long non-coding RNA (711 nucleotides) under Homo sapiens (human). RNAcentral's name for it is "non-protein coding TRG-AS1:2". The record is from RNAcentral. Lineage: Eukaryota; Metazoa; Chordata; Mammalia; Primates; Hominidae.